RNAcentral lists this ribosomal RNA (492 nucleotides) under uncultured bacterium. RNAcentral describes it as "partial 16S ribosomal RNA". It matches the Rfam family "Bacterial small subunit ribosomal RNA", at positions 29 to 507 of the family's 1533-position model. The record is from RNAcentral.
AGUGAACGCUGGCGGUAGGCCUAACACAUGCAAGUCGAACGGCAGCACAGUAAGAGCUUGCUCUUACGGGUGGCGAGUGGCGGACGGGUGAGGAAUACAUCGGAAUCUACUUUUUCGUGGGGGAUAACGUAGGGAAACUUACGCUAAUACCGCAUACGACCUACGGGUGAAAGCAGGGGAUCUUCGGACCUUGCGCGAUUGAAUGAGCCGAUGUCGGAUUAGCUAGUUGGCGGGGUAAAGGCCCACCAAGGCGACGAUCCGUAGCUGGUCUGAGAGGAUGGUCAGCCACACUGGAACUGAGACACGGUCCAGACUCCUACGGGAGGAAGCAGUGGGGAAUAUUGGACAAUGGGCGCAAGCCUGAUCCAGCAAUACCGCGUGGGUGAAGAAGGCCUUCGGGUUGUAAAGCCCUUUUGUUGGGAAAGAAAAGCAGCAGGUUAAUACCCCGCUGUUCUGACGGUACCCAAAGAAUAAGCACCGGCUAACUUCGUG